RNAcentral lists this ribosomal RNA (303 nucleotides) under uncultured bacterium. Its description in RNAcentral is "partial 16S ribosomal RNA". It matches the Rfam family "Bacterial small subunit ribosomal RNA", at positions 507 to 807 of the family's 1533-position model. The record is from RNAcentral.
AGCAGUAGCCGCGGUAAUACGAAGGGUGCAAGCGUUACUCGGAAUUACUGGGCGUAAAGCGUGCGUAGGUGGUGGUUUAAGUCCGUUGUGAAAGCCCUGGGCUCAACCUGGGAAUUGCAGUGGAUACUGGGUCACUAGAGUGUGGUAGAGGAUAGUGGAAUUUCCGGUGUAGCAGUGAAAUGCGUAGAGAUCGGAAGGAACAUCUGUGGCGAAGGCGACUACCUGGGCCAACACUGACACUGAGGCACGAAAGCGUGGGGAGCAAACAGGAUUAGAUACCCCAGUAGUCCCUGUCUCUUAUAC